CACAGGGUUUGCCACGAGGUCGUGAGCGCAGGCGCGGUAUAUAAGCCUGUGCACUGAUCUACAACUUAUUGCGCAGUCGAUCCUUCGAGGCACAACACACCAGACAACAUGCUCAGACUUAUCGUCCUGUUCGCCGCCCUCGUGGCCGUCGUCCUCGCCGCCCCCGGCUACUACAACCCCUACGCCCCCUUCGCCAGGUACGUCGUGCCCGCCCCCUACGCCUACCAUGCCGCCCCCGCUGUCUACCACUCCGUCGAGCCUGUAGAACAGCACGGCUACUCCAUCGUCUACUAGACAUCUCUCUCUGCAGCUCCUACCCUUUGUACCAUACGGCCCAACUGUUCUUCCAUUUAUUUAUGAAUUAAAAUUUAUUACGUCUGGUUAA
Long non-coding RNA from Macrosteles quadrilineatus (aster leafhopper), 385 nucleotides. RefSeq lists it as uncharacterized. The record is from RefSeq and is a predicted model, not a curated record. The transcript is spliced from 2 exons. NCBI's taxonomy places the organism in Eukaryota, Metazoa, Arthropoda, Insecta, Hemiptera, Cicadellidae.